Molecule: ribosomal RNA, 254 nt
Filed under: uncultured bacterium
Lineage: Bacteria
Description: partial 16S ribosomal RNA
Rfam family: Bacterial small subunit ribosomal RNA
Source: RNAcentral
UACGAAGGGGGCUAGCGUUGCUCGGAAUCACUGGGCGUAAAGCGCACGUAGGCGGUCUCUUAAGUCGGGGGUGAAAUCCUGGAGCUCAACUCCAGAACUGCCUUCGAUACUGGGAGUCUUCGAGUUCGGGAGAGGUGAGUGGAACUGCGAGUGUAGAGGUGAAAUUCGUAGAUAUUCGCAAGAACACCAGUGGCGAAGGCGGCUCACUGGCCCGAUACUGACGCUGAGGUGCGAAAGCGUGGGGAGCAAACAGG